RNAcentral lists this small RNA (222 nucleotides) under Dipodomys ordii (Ord's kangaroo rat). RNAcentral's name for it is "7SK RNA (ENSDORG00000022350.2)". It matches the Rfam family "7SK RNA", at positions 1 to 247 of the family's 331-position model. Rfam says of the family: 7SK was discovered as an abundant small nuclear RNA in the mid-70s but a possible function has only recently been suggested. Two independent studies have found that 7SK RNA binds the CDK9/cyclin T complex (known as elongation factor P-TEFb). The record is from RNAcentral. Lineage: Eukaryota; Metazoa; Chordata; Mammalia; Rodentia; Heteromyidae.
AGAUGUGAGGGCAAUCUGACUGUCACCCAUGGAUCGCCAGGGUUGGUUCAGCUGGGCCGGCUGGCUAGGUGGGUGUCCCCUUCUCCUGUCACCACACCAUGUGUGUCCCUCCCAAAGCUGUGCUCAGUCAAAGAGGACGGCCAUCCCCGAUAGAGGAGUAGCUGUGAUCCCCUGACAGGACCUCCAAACAAGCUCCCAAGAAAUGUGGCACAUCCACCCAGU